Molecule: ribosomal RNA, 498 nt
Filed under: uncultured bacterium
Lineage: Bacteria
Description: partial 16S ribosomal RNA
Rfam family: Bacterial small subunit ribosomal RNA
Source: RNAcentral
ACUCAAAUGAAUUGACGGGGGCCCGCACAAGCGGCGGAGCAUGCGGAUUAAUUCGAUGCAACGCGAAGAACCUUACCUGGGUUUGACAUGUGCACUAAAGCUGCAGAGAUGUGGUGUCCUUUUAGGGGUGUUCACAGGUGGUGCAUGGCUGUCGUCAGCUCGUGUCGUGAGAUGUUGGGUUAAGUCCCGCAACGAGCGCAACCCUCGUUCCAUGUUGCCAGCGCGUUAUGGCGGGGACUCAUGGGAGACUGCCGGGGUCAACUCGGAGGAAGGUGGGGAUGACGUCAAGUCAUCAUGCCCCUUAUGUCCAGGGCUUCACGCAUGCUACAAUGGCCGGUACAAUGGGUAGCGAUAUCGUGAGGUGGAGCGAAUCCCAUAAAGCCGGUCUCAGUUCGGAUCGCAGUCUGCAACUCGACUGCGUGAAGUCGGAGUCGCUAGUAAUCGCAGAUCAGCAACGCUGCGGUGAAUACGUUCCCGGGCCUUGUACACACCGCCCGU